UGUUGCCUGCAAGGGCGUAUGGUGGAUGCCUUGGCAGACAGGACCGAUGAAGGACGUUUGAGGCUGCGAUAUGCCUCGGGGAGCCGCCAACAGGGCUUUGAUCCGAGGAUUUCCGAAUGGGGGAACCCACCGGCCGUCAUGGGCCGGUACCGCCGUGUGCGGGGGGUACGCAGGGAAGUGAAACAUCUCAGUACCUGCAGGAAAGGAUAUUCCGUGAGUAGUGGCGAGCGAAAGCGGAUCAGGCCAAACCUUGCGCGUGUGAUACCCGUCGGGGGUUGCGCGCGGGGUGUAGAGGGAUCGCGUUUGCCGGCUCCGACGGGCCGGCCGUCAGUUGCAUAAAACCAUGUGCCAGGGGAACCGGGUUGAAUACCGGGCCGCAGAGGGUGAGGGCCCCGUACCCGAACGCGCAUGGUCUGGCGAUCGCGUCUCCCAAGUAGCACGGGCCCCGUGGAAUCCCGUGCGAAUCUGUCCCGACCGUGGGAUAAGCCUAAAUAUUCCUGUCUGACCGAUAGCGAACGAGUACCGUGAGGGAAAGGUGAAAAGUACCCCGGGAGGGGAGUGAAACAGUCUCUGAAACCAUGCGCCUACGAACCGUCGGGGCCCUCUUGUGGGGUGACGGCGUGCCUAUCGAAAAAUGAGUCUGCGAGUCAGUGGCAUGUGGCGAGCAUAACCCGUGUGGGGUAUGCGUAGCGAAGGCGAGUCUUAAAAGGCGUUUGAGUCGCGUGUCCUGGACCCGAAGCGGGAUGAUCUAGCCCUGAGCAGGUUGAAGCGCGGGUAAGACCGUGUGGAGGACCGAACCCACCUGGGUUGAAAACCGGGGGGAUGACUUGGGGCUAGGGGUGAAAGGCCAAUCAAAUUCCGUGAUAGCUGGUUCUCUCCGAAAUGCAUUUAGGUGCAGCGUCGGAUCGAUUACAUCCGGGGGGUAGAGCGACUGGAUGCUUGCGGGCCCAUAUCGGGUACCAACAGCAACCAAACUCCGAAUACCCGUGAUGCGUAUCCCGGCAGUGAGUCGGCGGGGGAUAAGCUCCGUCGUCGAAAGGGAAACAGCCCAGAUCGUCGUCUAAGGUCCCCAAGCGUGUGCUAAGUGGGAAAGGAUGUGGAGUCGCAUAGACAGCCAGGAGGUUGGCUCAGAAGCAGCCACCCUUGAAAGAGUGCGUAACAGCUCACUGGUCUAGUGGUUCCGCGCCGACAAUGUAGCGGGGCUCAAGCACACCACCGAAGACGCGGCAGUAGCUUUGCUACUGGGUAGGAGAGCGUCCCAUGCGGGGCGAAGCGGCGGCGCAAGCCCGCCGUGGACCGCAUGGGAGUGAGAAUGCAGACAUGAGUAGCGAAAGACGGGUGAAGAUCCCGUCCGCUGGACGACCAAGGGUUCCAGGGCCACGUUCAUCGUCCCUGGGUGAGUCGGGUCCUAAGGCGAGGCCGACAGGCGUAGUCGAAUGGACGAACGGGUCGAUAUUCCCGUACCGGCAUGCAACCGGCAAAACCGAAUCCGCGAGUACUAACUUCCGGGUCCGGGCUUACGUCUCCUUCGGGAGCCGGAUGCCCUGGCCUGUUGGGACCGUAACGGUAGUAGGUCAGCGCGGGAGUGACGCAGAAGGGUAGCCGGCCGCGGAGGUGGUCUUCCGUGGUCAAGCACGCAGCCCGUCCCACAGGCAAAUCCGUGGGGCGCGUGGGCGAGGUGCGAUGAUGGGCGCCGCAGGGCGCGAUAUCCGGUGAUCCCGGCUGCCGAGAAAAGCUUCGGCGUGAGGCGGCAUGCCGCCCGUACCCCAAACCGACACUGGUGGUCAGGUAGAGAAUACCAAAGCGAUCGAGCGAAUCCUGGUCAAGGAACUCGGCAAAUCACUCCCGUUCCUUCGGUUUAAGGGAGACCCCCGAUGGUGAAGCGGCUUGCCCGCGGAGCUUUUGGGGGUGGCACAGACCAGGGGGUAGCGACUGUUUACCAAAAACACAGGAGCGUGCGAAGGCGCAAGCCGCUGUAUACGCUCUGACGCCUGCCCGGUGCCGGAAGGUUAAGAGGAUCCGUCAGGCCUCGGCCGAAGCGGUGAAUUCAAGCCCCGGUAAACGGCGGUGGUAACUAUAACCAUCCUAAGGUAGCGAAAUUCCUUGUCGGGUAAGUUCCGACCUGCACGAAUGGCGUAACGACUUCCCCACUGUCUCGACCAGGAGCUCGGCGAAAUUGCAGUACGAGUAAAGAUGCUCGUUAAGCGCAGAAGGACGAAAAGACCCCGGGACCUUUACUAUACCUUGGUAUUGGCAUUCGGUGUGGAUUGUGUAGCAUAGGCGGAAGGCUUCGAAGCCACGGCGCCAGCCGCGGUGGAGCCGCAAGGUGAAAUACCGCUCUGUUCGCAUUGGAUGUCUAACCUCGACCAGUCAUCCUGGUCAGGGACAGUGCCUGGCGGGUAGUUUAACUGGGGCGGUUGCCUCCCAAAGAGUAACGGAGGCGCUCAAAGGUUCCCUCAGCCCGGUUGGCAAUCGGGUGGCGAGUGUAAGUGCACAAGGGAGCUUGACUGCGAGACUGACGGGUCGAGCAGGGACGAAAGUCGGAACUAGUGAUCCGGUGCCGGUGUACGGACGCGGCAUCGCUCAACGGAUAAAAGGUACCCCGGGGAUAACAGGCUGAUCAUUCCCAAGAGUCCAUAUCGACGGGAUGGUUUGGCACCUCGAUGUCGGCUCGUCGCAUCCUGGGGCUGGAGCAGGUCCCAAGGGUUCGGCUGUUCGCCGAUUAAAGCGGCACGCGAGCUGGGUUCAGAACGUCGUGAGACAGUUUGGUCUCUAUCCUCUGCGCUCGUCGGAAUGUUGAGGAGGCCUGCCCAUAGUACGAGAGGACCUGGGUGGACGAACCUCUGGUAUGCCGGUUGUCACGCCAGUGGCACGGCCGGUUGGCUACGUUCGGAAGGGAUAACCGCUGAAAGCAUCUAAGCGGGAAGCCUGCUCCAAGAUAAGCAUUCCAUAGGACUACGGGUCCUUGAAGUCCCCAUGCAGAACACGUGGUUGAUAGGCCGGACGUGGAAGCCCCGCGAGGGGUGGAGCCGACCGGUACUAACGGACGAAAGGCAACACAAC
Molecule: ribosomal RNA, 3063 nt
Filed under: Bifidobacterium breve
Lineage: Bacteria; Bacillati; Actinomycetota; Actinomycetes; Bifidobacteriales; Bifidobacteriaceae
Description: 23S ribosomal RNA
Rfam family: Bacterial large subunit ribosomal RNA
Source: RNAcentral